Molecule: small RNA, 4548 nt
Filed under: Pongo abelii (Sumatran orangutan)
Lineage: Eukaryota; Metazoa; Chordata; Mammalia; Primates; Hominidae
Description: retained intron
Source: RNAcentral
AAAUCAUGCGGAACCAGUUCUCUGUCAAAUGCUGGCUUCGCUACAUCGAGUUCAAACAGGGCGCCCCGAAGCCCAGGCUCAAUCAGCUAUACGAGCGUGCACUCAAGCUGCUGCCCUGCAGGUGGGAAUGGCUCCAGCUGCCCUGCCCACCAGCCCCCACCCCACCUGGUCCAGUUAUAACAAAACUGCUAAGUAGGUCCCGGGUGAUUGCUUCGUGUUCCAUCACUGACCUGUACAUCCCUUGAUGGGUCAGCACACCUUCUCUGAUGUCCCAGUCUGUCCCUGUCAUUGCUGAGACAUGUCACCCCUCCCACACUUGCCAACUGGGGCAGGGCAAAUGGUUCUGGGGGGGGGUCCAUAAAGCUGACUGAUCAGCAUCUGUCCCCUCCUAUUCCCCAGCUACAAACUCUGGUACCGAUACCUGAAGGCGCGUCGGGCACAGGUGAAGCAUCGCUGUGUGACCGACCCCGCCUAUGAAGAUGUCAACAACUGUCAUGAGAGGGCCUUUGUGUUCAUGCACAAGGUUUGGGGCUAGGCGAGGGGAUGAAUCGGGAGGAGGGGCUCAGUCCAUGGUGGUGGGUGGGGUGGGGACAGGGGCUGGGCUCAGCACGUUAGGGAUGGGGGCUUGGAUUCCUGUUGCUUCUUUGCACGGGAAGUUGGGCUGGACUCAGUCCUGGAGCUGGGGGUUUCUGGGGUCCCGCUGCAUUUAUGUGGAGGCCCCAGGUGUGGCUCAGCCACAGGACAUCGAGUGUCUGUGGCCAGGCCAUGGAGUCCGUGGCUUAGCCCCAGCCGCCUCUCCCCACACCCCCAGAUGCCUCGUCUGUGGCUAGAUUACUGCCAGUUCCUCAUGGACCAGGGGCGCGUCACACAUACCCGCCGCACCUUCGACCGUGCCCUCCGGGCACUGCCUAUCACUCAGCACUCUCGAAUUUGGCCCCUGUAUCUGCGCUUCCUGCGCUCACACCCACUGCCUGAGACAGCUGUGCGAGGCUAUCGGCGCUUCCUCAAGCUGAGUCCCGAGAGUGCAGAGGAGUACAUUGAGUACCUCAAGUCAAGUGACCGGCUGGAUGAGGCCGCCCAGCGCCUGGCCACUGUGGUGAACGAUGAGCGUUUCGUGUCCAAGGCCGGCAAGUCCAACUACCAGGUGGGCCUGCCGGGAGCCGGGAGCCGGGUGGGAGGGCCACCCCUCUCCGUGACUGAGCCUGAGACUCUCCCCCCACUGCCCCAUGCCCUGCAGCUGUGGCACGAGCUGUGCGACCUCAUCUCCCAGAAUCCGGACAAGGUACAGUCCCUCAAUGUGGACGCCAUCAUCCGCGGGGGCCUCACCCGCUUCACCGACCAGCUGGGCAAGCUCUGGUGUUCUCUCGCUGACUACUACAUCCGCAGCGGCCACUUCGAGAAGGCUCGGGACGUGUACGAGGAGGCCAUCCGGACGGUGAUGACCGUGCGGGACUUCACACAGGUGUUUGACAGCUACGCCCAGUUCGAGGAGAGCAUGAUCGCCGCAAAGAUGGAGACCGCCUCAGAGCUGGGGCGCGAGGAGGAGGAUGAUGUGGACCUGGAGCUACGCCUGGCCCGCUUUGAGCAGCUCAUCAGCCGGCGGCCCCUGCUCCUCAACAGCGUCUUGCUGCGCCAAAACCCACACCACGUGCACGAGUGGCACAAGCGUGUCGCCCUGCACCAGGGCCGCCCCCGGGAGAUCAUCAACACCUACACAGAGGCUGUGCAGACGGUGGACCCCUUCAAGGCCACAGGCAAGCCCCACACUCUGUGGGUGGCGUUUGCCAAGUUUUAUGAGGACAACGGGCAGCUGGACGAUGCCCGCGUCAUCCUGGAGAAGGCCACCAAGGUGAAUUUCAAGCAGGUGGAUGACCUGGCAAGCGUGUGGUGUCAGUGCGGGGAGCUGGAGCUCCGACACGAGAACUACGAUGAGGCCUUGCGGCUGCUGCGAAAGGCCACGGCGCUGCCUGCCCGCCGGGCCGAGUACUUUGAUGGCUCAGAGCCUGUGCAGAACCGCGUGUACAAGUCGCUGAAGGUCUGGUCCAUGCUCGCUGACCUGGAGGAGAGCCUCGGCACCUUCCAGUCCACUAAGGCCGUGUAUGACCGCAUCCUGGACCUGCGUAUCGCGACGCCCCAGAUCGUCAUCAACUAUGCCAUGUUCCUGGAGGAGCACAAGUACUUCGAGGAGAGCUUCAAAGUGAGGGGCUGGGGCGGACCCAGAGGCCCCUGAUGGCGGUGUCCCCUCCCCAGGGGUCCUCGGCAACUUACAAGUCUGCUGGGGCUUGUGUGACACAGUAUACAGACUGGGUGAUGUAAACAACAGAGAUUCAGCUUCUCCCCGUCCUGCAGGCUGGAAGUCCAGGAUUGAGGCAUGGGCAGGGCUAGUUCCUCCUGAGGCCUCUCUCCUCAGCUUACAGACAGCCGCCUUCUCCCUUUGUCUUUGUGUGGCCUUCUCUGUGUGUGUGUGUCACUUUUGAAAUUUCCUCUUCUUAAAAGGACAUCAGGCAUAAUGGAUUAGGAGGCCCCUAACGACCUCAGUUUAACUUAAUGAUCUCAUCUUCAAACGAAUCUACUUUCUGAGGUACUGGGGGUUAAGAUUUGAGCAUAUGAGUGUUUUGGGGGGGCACAGUGCAUUCCAUAGCAGGCACAGAGUCCUACUUCCAUGUGCACCCAUCACUCGUGGGGAGGGUGUUGGUGCCAGUGUGUGCGGGCUUUCCCUGCCCCACUGCUCAGGAGACGGGUUGUGGGGUCCAGGGGGUGUGUUGCGUGUCGCCGUGGCAAGGCCCUGUCCCGCGGCCGGAGCAGUCAUGUUUGAGUGUGUGUUUCUAUGGAUCGUGUGGGCGUUAUACAGAUACGCAAAUGGGGAGGUCCUACAUGCACAUGCGUGCUACUGCCUGCCUCUCUGUCAGGGGGUGCAACCUCCUCCCUGGGGACAGGCAGCCAGCAUCAGCAGAGCUGGGGAGCCACCCACCUUCACCCAUCAUGUCACCUCCUAUGGGGCCAGACUGUGCUUAGCAGGUCCCAUUGCACCCCUGUUCUUGGGGUUCUCACAGAGGGAGACAGUGCAGAGGACAGACCCCCACAACUGCCAUUAGGGACAGGGAGGCGUGGACAGGGAAGGGCCCCAAGGGAGAUCCCGGCGGGCUCCCUACAGACGUCGCCCAAGGACAUCCCGGGUGCCUGGUGGUCUCUAUCUGCAGAUUUUCACAUGUGACUCUCCCUGUGGUAACAGGCGUACGAGCGCGGCAUCUCGCUGUUCAAGUGGCCCAACGUGUCCGACAUCUGGAGCACCUACCUGACCAAAUUCAUUGCCCGCUAUGGGGGCCGCAAGCUGGAGCGGGCGCGGGACCUGUUUGAACAGGCUCUGGAUGGCUGCCCCCCAAAAUACGCCAAGAGUGAGGCGCGCAGAGGGCUUGGGGUGGGGAUUGUGGGCGGGCUGGGUUUCUGACUGGCCUCGGCUGACCAUGCUCCCCUCUCCCCCCUUCCCCGCCCAGCCUUGUACCUGCUGUAUGCGCAGCUGGAGGAGGAGUGGGGCCUGGCCCGGCAUGCCAUGGCCGUGUACGAGCGUGCCACCAGGGCCGUGGAGCCCGCCCAGCAGUACGACAUGUUCAACAUCUACAUCAAGCGGGCGGCCGAGAUCUAUGGGGUCACCCACACCCGCGGCAUCUACCAAAAGGCCAUUGAGGUGCUGUCGGACGAGCAUGCGCGUGAGAUGUGCCUGAGAUUUGCAGACAUGGAGUGCAAGCUCGGGGAGAUCGACCGCGCCCGGGCCAUCUACAGCUUCUGCUCCCAGAUCUGUGACCCCCGGGUAGGGCUGGGGGCUGUGGGGAGGGACGGGCAUCAGGGUUGGGGGCUGCAGCGGAGUCAGCCAGCUCACGGGCACACACACCCACCCCUGCCCUGCUCUCCACACAGACGACCGGCGUGUUCUGGCAGACGUGGAAGGACUUCGAGGUCCGGCAUGGCAACGAGGACACCAUCAAGGAGAUGCUGCGUAUCCGGCGCAGCGUGCAGGCCACAUACAACACGCAGGUCAACUUCAUGGCCUCGCAGAUGCUCAAGGUCUCGGGCAGUGCCACGGGCACCGUAUCUGACCUGGCCCCUGGGCAGAGCGGCAUGGACGACAUGAAGCUGCUGGAACAGCGGGCAGAGCAGCUGGCGGCUGAAGCGGAGCGCGACCAGCCCUUGCGCGCCCAGAGCAAGAUCCUGUUCGUGAGGAGUGACGCCUCCCGGGAGGAGCUGGCAGAGCUGGCACAGCAGGUCAACCCUGAGGAGAUCCAGCUGGGCGAGGACGAGGACGAGGACGAGAUGGACCUGGAGCCCAACGGUGAGGGCCUGGCGGGGGCAGGGAUGGGGGCAGGGCCGGGGCGGGCCUUGGGGAACAGGCCAACGCCAGGAGGGUGACUGGCUCCCGCCUUCCCCACAGAGGUUAGGCUGGAGCAGCAGAGCGUGCCAGCCGCAGUGUUCGGGAGCCUGAAGGAAGACUGACCUGUCCCUCCCCUAUCCCCCUUCCCCACCCCCUCCCCAAUACAGCUACGUUUGUAUAUC